This 1215-nucleotide long non-coding RNA is filed under the name Heterocephalus glaber (naked mole-rat). RNAcentral's name for it is "lncRNA (ENSHGLG00000041728.1)". Lineage: Eukaryota; Metazoa; Chordata; Mammalia; Rodentia; Bathyergidae. The record is from RNAcentral.
CUCUCAACAGUGCUGCAUUGGGAGCCAACCCUCGAAUAGACGAUUUUUGAGGGAUCUCACUAAGUCAUUAAGUUGCUUACCCUGGGCUUCAACUUGGGAUUCUCCUGCCUCAGCCUCCCUGAGAUUCAGACAUGCAACACUAUUCACUGACAGUCUUAACAGAUGCUUAUUUGGGUUGAUGAGAUUAAUAAAGAGUUCGUUCCUCAGCUACCAGCACUUCUAAGUGGUUCACAUGUUGAUGAAUUGAUCAGAAGUCUCUCUGAAGAGGCUGAUUUUUAAACCAAAGCCCAACUUAUUUAUAAAGGAAGAUCCAUCUAACCUAAUGUGUACCUGGAAAGUAAAUUGAAGAAUGAAGAAUACCCAGGGUACAGAGUCUUCGAAAUCAAGGACUACCAGACUAGUACUUGGAAGAGAUGAGAGAAGGUUGCAAGGAGGUGAGAAGUAUAUGAAUCAGUUCCUGGGGUGUCCUGAAGCUCUGAAGAAAAUGACUUGAAACAAUUCCAGCUCUCACUUUUUUCCUUCAAUCAAUUCCCAGCUGGGCUGUGACAGAAGGCAGAUGAUAAGAAAAGGAAGGAGAGCAAUAAAGCGCAGCCGCUUUACAAGAGAAGAAAAAGUUUCCCAGAGGGAAGUAAAGAAGGAAAGCCCCCCCAAAAAACCUAGGCACAGAGCUUGCUUGAAGGAGAAAGAUUACCAUGAAAUCUUUAAAUGUUCUAAACACCAUCAGUAACAGCUGUAAAGGAGUGGGAACAGGUAUAAUAGGGAUUAGUGGAAAGAGCUUCACUGUAGCCAUGUACUUUUCUGUAUUAUUUAGUAUUCCUCUCUUUGAAGAACUGCCUUAUGAGUUGAAUAUGAAAACAGAAGAAACUUUCCUAAUUGCCAGGUGAGCUUUAUGUACUCAUUAAAACAGCGUGUGGUUUCCACGUAAAACAAGCAAGCAAGCAAGCAAGCAAGCAAGCAAGCAAGUAACCAUCUGAGAUUCCUCACUCCCGUUCAGAAAAACUAAGAACACAGUUUGAUUUCAUUCAGUUCUGAAUGUUAUGUGUGAUUUUUUUGGGUAAUGACUUUAGGGAUGUAGUUCGUAUUGCACAAGCUUGACUUCAAAUGUUUUGAGGGGAAAGGCCUGAGGGAUUACAGAAGCAUGAACUGAAGCACUGCUGGGCCCUUGCUUGUCACCGGAAAAACCAAUAUAAACUUGGAACUGCAAAAGAAAUGCAG